AGGAGGAGAGCAAAGCUAUUGAGCCAGCGAGGAGGAGUGAAGCUGAGCCUGGCCUCGCAUGCUUCCAGAGGACCACCUCCCGAGGCAGAGUCCGUUCCCCCUCGCCUGCCCUCUGCCAGCGCCCCGCUGCCCUCCCUGCCUGCCCAGUACAAUGCAUUCUUGACCGGCAGCGCCUGGACUCCUAGCAGCCCCAGAGAGCCGGAGCGAGCCACCACCGGGAGGAGGACGGGAGCCAAGACACUCUGGUGGGAGUGUUGGAUGCCUGGCACUCUGUGAGGACAUCUCUGGAGCAACGGUGGCUUUGGGGUGGGGGGUGGUGCUGCAGGGAAUCCAGCCAGGCCCCGAGAUGGACACUUCUGGGCACUUCCAUGACUCGGGGGUGGGGGACUUGGACGAAGACCCCAAGUGCCCCUGUCCAUCCUCCGGGGAUGAGCAGCAGCAGCAGCAGCCGCCGCCGCAGCCACCACCAGCGCCGGCAGCACCAGCAGCCCCCCAGCACCCCCCGGGACCCCUGUUGCAGCCUCAGCCUCAGCCUCAGCCUCUGCAGCAGCAGCAGCAGCAGCAGCAGCAGCAGCAGCAGCAGCCACUGCAUCCCCUGUCUCAGCUCGCCCAACUCCAGAGCCAGCCCGUGCACCCCGGCCUGCUCCACUCCUCUCCCACCGCCCUCAGGGCCCCCCCUUUGUCCAACUCCACCGCCACCCUCCACCCUUCCUCCAGGCAAGGCAGCCAGCUCAACCUCAGUGACCAUUUGCUUGGCCACUCUCCAAGUUCCACAGCCACAAGUGGGCCCGGCGGAGGCGGCCGGCACCGGCAGGCCAGCCCCCUGGUGCACCGGCGGGACAGCAACCCCUUCACCGAGAUCGCCAUGAGCUCCUGCAAGUACAGUGGCGGGGUCAUGAAGCCCCUCAGCCGCCUCAGCGCCUCCCGGAGGAACCUCAUCGAGGCCGAGCCCGAGGGCCAGCCCCUCCAGCUCUUCGGCCCUGGCAACCCCCCGGAGAUCGUCAUCUCCUCCCGGGAGGACAACCAUGCCCACCAGACCCUGCUCCACCACCCCAAUGCCACCCAGAACCACCAGCACGCCGGCACCGCCCCCAGCGGCACCACCUUCCCCAAAGCCAACAAGCGGAAAAACCAAAACAUUGGCUAUAAGCUGGGACACAGGAGGGCCCUGUUCGAAAAGAGAAAGCGGCUGAGUGACUAUGCUCUGAUUUUUGGGAUGUUUGGAAUUGUUGUUAUGGUGAUAGAGACCGAGCUGUCUUGGGGUUUGUACUCAAAGGAUUCCAUGUUUUCGUUGGCCCUGAAAUGCCUUAUCAGUCUGUCCACCAUCAUCCUCUUGGGUUUGAUCAUCGCCUAUCACACCCGUGAAGUCCAGCUCUUCGUGAUCGACAACGGCGCGGACGACUGGCGGAUAGCCAUGACCUACGAGCGCAUCCUCUACGUCAGCCUGGAGAUGCUGGUGUGCGCCAUCCACCCCAUCCCCGGCGAGUACAAGUUCUUCUGGACGGCCCGCCUGGCCUUCUCCUACGCGCCCUCGCAGACGGAGGCCGACGUGGACAUCAUCCUGUCCAUCCCCAUGUUCCUGCGCCUCUACCUGAUCGCGCGCGUCAUGCUGCUGCACAGCAAGCUCUUCACCGACGCCUCCUCCCGCAGCAUCGGCGCGCUCAACAAGAUCAACUUCAACACGCGCUUCGUCAUGAAGACGCUCAUGACCAUCUGCCCCGGCACCGUGCUGCUGGUCUUCAGCAUCUCGCUGUGGAUCAUCGCCGCCUGGACCGUGCGCGUCUGCGAGAGGUACCAUGACCAGCAGGACGUGACUAGUAACUUCCUGGGGGCCAUGUGGCUCAUCUCCAUCACAUUCCUCUCCAUCGGCUACGGGGACAUGGUGCCCCACACGUACUGCGGGAAAGGCGUGUGCCUGCUCACCGGCAUCAUGGGCGCGGGCUGCACGGCCCUGGUGGUGGCCGUGGUGGCCCGGAAGCUGGAGCUCACCAAGGCGGAGAAGCACGUGCACAACUUCAUGAUGGACACGCAGCUCACCAAACGGAUCAAGAACGCGGCGGCCAACGUGCUCCGGGAGACGUGGCUCAUCUACAAGCACACCAAGCUGCUCAAGAAGAUCGACCACGCCAAGGUCCGGAAGCACCAGCGGAAGUUCCUGCAGGCCAUCCACCAGCUGCGGAGCGUCAAGAUGGAGCAGAGGAAGCUGAGCGACCAAGCCAACACCCUGGUGGACCUUUCCAAGAUGCAGAACGUCAUGUACGACCUGAUCACCGAGCUCAACGACCGGAGCGAGGACCUGGAGAAGCAGAUCGGGAGCCUGGAGUCCAAGCUGGAGCACCUGGCCGCCAGCUUCAACUCGCUGCCCGCCCUCCUCGCGGACACGCUGCGCCAGCAGCAGCAGCAGCUGCUCUCCGCCAUCCUGGAGGCCCGGGGCGUCAGCGUGGCCGUGGGCACCGCCCGCACCCCGCUCUCCGACAGCCCCAUCGGGGUCAGCUCCACCUCCUUCCCCACCCCGUACACGAGCUCCAGCAGUUGCUAAAUAAACCUCCCCGCCCCGGAAACACUGCCCACAGGUCUUACGAGGCAAGCGGACUCCCUCCUGGCCCCCUCGGCCGUCCAGGAGCACGGAGACCCGGGGAUGCCCAGAGGAGCGUCCGAGCUACGUGACUAACUCAUGCUCAUCCGGCGUGCUUGGUUCGAGAUGCCUUGAAACCAGAAAUCUAAUCUCUGUUUAGGUGCCUCUACUUGGAAGCAGGAAGCUGAGCUGACAGGAAGCGACACCUCUGGCAGGGCCCUUGCCGCAGAGCUGGUGGAGAACAGAAAUCCACGCUCCAUCUCAGCGCCCACACACGAACUGGAGUUCCCUCUGGACAAAAACCAUUAUCCAAUCUUCAACGUAUGACCUCCAAUCUAGGUGCCACGUGCCCCGAGACACGGAUGGACACGCCGAGAGUCCUAUUCCGGGAGCUGUCCCCUCGGACCCGGCCGUGUGUUGAAACAAACAAAAGAUGUUUGGGACCAACCACGCGGAUGAUGGAGGAAAAGCACAAAAUUCAAUCUCAACCUGAAGUGAGGAUCCCAAAGAGAUGCUGGAUGUAUAGCCAAACAAACACACACACAAACAUGGAUGACAAAUCAAAUAUGAAUCUGAUUGGAACAGCCCACGUCCCGAUUCACAGGAGGACAGGGAAUAAAGGACAUUCUCUAACCGUGUCACAUGAUUUCAGUGUUUGAAUCUCAGCUGAGACUGACACGCCUUCACCGGACACUGCGUCUGACAGCACGGCACCUCGGUUCUGGUCCCAGACCCUCCUUGCGCACCGACCAGGAGCGAGCGACAAAGGAGAAUGACCGGAUGUUCAUGGAGGAGACAUUUCCAAUGGCAAACUCAGAGACCGAAGUGUUUAUAUCCAGAAUCAGAUGAGCUUCGAUACGAAUUUGCAUCUUGCCUCUCUGUACUGCUUGCUAUUUUUUAACGAUAGGAGAAAGCAUAUCCGUUUAUUUUAAAUAUGAAAUAUAUUGCUAUAUUACAAAAUAUAUUGUAACUUUCCAUUAA
RNA transcript from Pipistrellus kuhlii (Kuhl's pipistrelle), 3556 nucleotides. It is a transcript of the gene named potassium calcium-activated channel subfamily N member 3, with no coding region annotated. The record is from RefSeq and is a predicted model, not a curated record. The transcript is spliced from 9 exons. NCBI's taxonomy places the organism in Eukaryota, Metazoa, Chordata, Mammalia, Chiroptera, Vespertilionidae.